ACGAACGUUGGCGGCGUGGAUUAGGCAUGCAAGUCGAACGAAUCCCACUGCUGUAGCAAUACAGUGGUGGGGGAAGUGGCGAAAGGGGCAGUAAGGCGUGGGUAACCUACCCCGGGGACGGGCAUAGCCGGCCUAACGGCCGGGUAAUUCCUGGCGAUUCGACGUGGCGGCAUCGCCGUGUCGGGAAAUGAGUUUCGCCUCGGGAGGGGCUCACGUGAUAUUAGCUGGUUGGUGGGGUAACGGCCUACCAAGGCGAAGAUGUCUAGCGGGUGUGAGAGCACGACCCGCGCCACUGGCACUGAGACACUGGCCAGACACCUACGGGUGGCUGCAGUCGAGGAUCUUCGGCAAUGGGCGCAAGCCUGACCGAGCGACGCCGCGUGUGCGAUGAAGGCCUUCGGGUUGUAAAGCACUGUCGAGGGGGAGAAAGGCCCGCAAGGGCUUGAUCGAUCCCUGGAGGAAGCACGGGCUAAGUUCGUGCCAGCCGCCGCAGUAAAAC
This 499-nucleotide ribosomal RNA is filed under the name uncultured bacterium. Its description in RNAcentral is "bacterial SSU rRNA". It matches the Rfam family "Bacterial small subunit ribosomal RNA", at positions 29 to 526 of the family's 1533-position model. The record is from RNAcentral.